GGCCCCGUAGCUCAGGGGAUAGAGCAGUGGUUUCCUAAACCAUGUGCCGGGCGUUCGAAUCGCCCCGGGGCCGCCA
This 76-nucleotide transfer RNA is filed under the name Propionibacteriaceae bacterium. RNAcentral's name for it is "tRNA-Arg". It matches the Rfam family "tRNA". From Rfam's summary of the family: Transfer RNA (tRNA) molecules are approximately 80 nucleotides in length. Their secondary structure includes four short double-helical elements and three loops (D, anti-codon, and T loops). Lineage: Bacteria; Bacillati; Actinomycetota; Actinomycetes; Propionibacteriales; Propionibacteriaceae. The record is from RNAcentral.